Neogale vison (American mink) is the source of this 817-nucleotide long non-coding RNA. RefSeq lists it as uncharacterized. The record is from RefSeq and is a predicted model, not a curated record. NCBI's taxonomy places the organism in Eukaryota, Metazoa, Chordata, Mammalia, Carnivora, Mustelidae. The transcript has 3 exons.
GUCGGACUCAACACACCCUCCUGCGGGAUCUUCUGGCGGGGGAGGAGGAAGCUUCGGACCCCGGCGUCUGCCCAGUGCACGGACUGCGCGCACGCACCGGGGCGGAGCUGGGCAUCCGGGCGGUGAGACCCCGACUCCGGCCCGCGUUCCCAGGCACGAGGCGCACUUGACACCCCACCCGCGGCCCCCGCAGCUCCAGACCUCACCAACAUUCCAGAACUACAUCAUAAGGACGGCAGGGUGGACUGGCAGCCAGGUGGGAGCUGCAGGCCGGUGGACUCUGCCAGGAACAAGCCGUGCUCUAUUCCUUCCCAGCCAGGCCGGACCCCGUGUGCUUUGUCCUUGGCACAGAAGAUGCACCCUGAACCUGAAGAUGAUAUUACUCAUCUGAAUGACAGUUCAACCCAGGAUGCUUCUGGCCAGGCAUCAUGUAAGUGUGAACCUUCUGAAGGAAAGGUAUAAAUGUCUUGCUCCAUGGUAAGUCCUGUUUAUGGUCAGGAGGAGUCAUAGAUCCCUGCAUCUCCUUUCAAAGUGGGAAGAUUCCAGGGUCCUCCCUCAUUCGACAUGGUAUGAAAGGAGAAGAAAUAUUUAUGAGGAGACAGAGGCACAUGGACCUAAGACAGAUCCAUGGAGUUAUCACACCUGCAAGUUGUCCACAGGGUGGGGACCAAUGAAGAAAAGUAGAGGAAAAAGAAAACAUCUCAGAAGAUGCCUGAGUGAAUAAAAAUGCCACCCUUGAGCCAGCUGCUCCUGGAAUAUACCCCCAAGGCUGCUGAUCAGGGCAGUGAUGACAGAGCCUGGGAUUGACUAUGACUCA